Molecule: ribosomal RNA, 979 nt
Filed under: uncultured Prevotella sp.
Lineage: Bacteria; Pseudomonadati; Bacteroidota; Bacteroidia; Bacteroidales; Prevotellaceae
Description: bacterial SSU rRNA
Rfam family: Bacterial small subunit ribosomal RNA
Source: RNAcentral
CAGCAGCCGCGGUAAUACGGAAGGUCCAGGCGUUAUCCGGAUUUAUUGGGUUUAAAGGGAGCGUAGGCGGAUUAUUAAGUCAGUGGUGAAAGACGGUGGCUCAACCAUCGUUAGCCAUUGAAACUGGUAGUCUUGAGUGCAGACAGGGAUGCUGGAACUCGUGGUGUAGCGGUGAAAUGCUUAGAUAUCACGAUGAACUCCGAUCGCGAAGGCAGGUGUCCGGGCUGCAACUGACGCUGAGGCUCGAAAGUGUGGGUAUCAAACAGGAUUAGAUACCCUGGUAGUCCACACAGUAAACGAUGUAUACUCGCGGUUUGCGAUAGACAGUAAGCCGCCAAGCGAAAGCAUUAAGUAUACCACCUGGGGAGUACGCCGGCAACGGUGAAACUCAAAGGAAUUGACGGGGGCCCGCACAAGCGGAGGAACAUGUGGUUUAAUUCGAUGAUACGCGAGGAACCUUACCCGGGCUUGAACUAAGAGUGACUUAUCUAGAGAUAGAUAUUUCUUCGGACACUCUUGGAGGUGCUGCAUGGUUGUCGUCAGCUCGUGCCGUGAGGUGUCGGCUUAAGUGCCAUAACGAGCGCAACCCUUUUCCUUGGUUGCCAUCAGGUAAUGCUGGGCACUCCAGGGAUACUGCCAUCGUAAGAUGUGAGGAAGGUGGGGAUGACGUCAAAUCAGCACGGCCCUUACGUCCGGGGCUACACACGUGUUACAAUGGGGGGUACAGAAGGUCGCUACCUGGUGACAGGAUGCUAAUCUCAAAAACCUCUCUCAGUUCGGAUUGGAGUCUGCAACCCGACUCCAUGAAGCUGGAUUCGCUAGUAAUCGCGCAUCAGCCAUGGCGCGGUGAAUACGUUCCCGGGCCUUGUACACACCGCCCGUCAAGCCAUGAAAGCCGGGGGUGCCUGAAAGCCGUGACCGCAAGGGUCGGCCUAGGGUAAAACUGGUGAUUGGGGCUAAGUCGUAACAAGGUAGCCGU